This 497-nucleotide ribosomal RNA is filed under the name uncultured bacterium. RNAcentral's name for it is "partial 16S ribosomal RNA". It matches the Rfam family "Bacterial small subunit ribosomal RNA", at positions 28 to 507 of the family's 1533-position model. The record is from RNAcentral.
GGUGAACGCUGGCGGCGUGCCUAAUACAUGCAAGUCGAGCGAACAGACGAGGAGCUUGCUCCUCUGACGUUAGCGGCGGACGGGUGAGUAACACGUGGAUAACCUACCUAUAAGACUGGGAUAACUUCGGGAAACCGGAGCUAAUACCGGAUAAUAUAUUGAACCGCAUGGUUCAAUAGUGAAAGACGGUUUUGCUGUCACUUAUAGAUGGAUCCGCGCCGCAUUAGCUAGUUGGUAAGGUAACGGCUUACCAAGGCAACGAUGCGUAGCCGACCUGAGAGGGUGAUCGGCCACACUGGAACUGAGACACGGUCCAGACUCCUACGGGAGGCAGCAGUAGGGAAUCUUCCGCAAUGGGCGAAAGCUUGACGGAGCAACGCCGCGUGAGUGAUGAAGGUCUUCGGAUCGUAAAACUCUGUUAUUAGGGAAGAACAAAUGUGUAAGUAACUAUGCACGUCUUGACGGUACCUAAUCAGAAAGCCACGGCUAACCACGUG